AGAAUAGCGACGACGACUCCUACGCUCCCGACGGUGUACUGCAGCAGCACCCGACGACACCAACAAUUCCAAUCGCGAUCGAUCUCAAUUCUUGACACCCACCACCUGACAGCUGCAGAUCUGCAAGUUUGAACCCCUGUUCAGCAAGCUCAAGCUCGUUUGGUGAAAGCUAAUUACUGAGUGAGAAAUGUCGUACUUGCUGCCACAUCUUCAUUCUGGAUGGGCUGUUGACCAGGCAAUCCUCGCUGAAGAAGAACGGCUUGUGGUCAUUCGUUUCGGUCAUGACUGGGACGAAACUUGUAUGCAGAUGGAUGAAGUGUUGGCCUCAGUUGCAGAGACGAUUAAGAACUUUGCUGUA
Molecule: unclassified non-coding RNA, 358 nt
Filed under: Hevea brasiliensis (rubber tree)
Lineage: Eukaryota; Viridiplantae; Streptophyta; Magnoliopsida; Malpighiales; Euphorbiaceae
Source: RNAcentral